This 63-nucleotide transfer RNA is filed under the name Colpocephalum griffoneae. RNAcentral describes it as "tRNA-Gly". Lineage: Eukaryota; Metazoa; Arthropoda; Insecta; Psocodea; Menoponidae. The record is from RNAcentral.
UAUUAUUUAGUAUCUAUGUAUAUCUAACUUCCAAUUAGAAGGACUUCAUUUGAAGAAUAAUAA